RNAcentral lists this long non-coding RNA (2004 nucleotides) under Marmota monax (woodchuck). Lineage: Eukaryota; Metazoa; Chordata; Mammalia; Rodentia; Sciuridae. The record is from RNAcentral.
GAGAACUGGAGGGAGGGGCUGGGACAGAUCCCGACGUCCGUGUCCACAGCAGCAGGUGGAGGGAGCCCCCGGGGUGCACACCCGCAGGACACCGCGAACCCGGGCAGCCCUGUACCCACAGUGGGUGCUGCGCCUCAAAAGGCAUCCUGCCAAAUGCCACGACCAGCGGACCCCAGGGACCCCGGGACGUCAUGGGAGUGAAGCAGCCCAGCGGCCAGCGGAAAGGCCAGGUGAUUCCACCUAGAGGGCACCGGGGCAGUGAGACUCAGCGGAGGGGAGGGGGACGGGACUUACCAUCUGGUGACGACAGAGUUCCGGUUUUGCAAGAUGAAGACUUCUGGGGGUAGAUGGUGGUGACUGUUGCACAAAUGUGUCAUUGUACUUAAUGCCCCUGGAGUGUGCACUUUAAAAUGAGGUCACAGUCACAACCCUAGGAACUCAGGAGGCUGAGACAGGAGGACCACAAGUUUGAGGACAGCCUCAGCCACUUUAGCAAGACCCUUUCCCAGGACUCUGGGAUUCCAAGCAUGUACCACCUCGCCCAGCCUGGAGUUGCCCAGGAGUCAGGUCCAGUGCCAGACAGGACGGUUUGGCCAUCACAAGAUUUAAAAAUUAGGAGAUGGCCCAUUAAAAGGGCCAGCCACCCGGGUGCCAUAUUGCUCCAAGGUCACUGUCACCUGGAAGUACACCAGCACUCUUGGGGGGGCCAGUGGUGCCCUGAAGUUCCCCACCCAUGGGCCUGGACCUUCCAACACCUGGAAGAAGUGACAUUGAGGGUCUCUGUCUUCAGUGACAGCCUGGUUGGGGUUUCACGGUGACAAUGUCUUUGGAGACACAGUUCUGGGGGUUUGAUCAUGAGACACACUAAUUCUGGGACCUCUUCUUUCUCAGCUCCUCCCCCCAGACUUUUUAGACCAGUUCCCCCAAAAGUGGGGCCUCACAAGAGGGUCUCAAAACCCCGGCUGCCACCCCACACUUAACUUCCCAACUGAGUUCGCUGAAGUCCCCAGAUGGUGUGGUGGGGGGAGACUGCGCCCGGGCCUGGCUUGGGGGACUUUCCCACGAAGGCUUCCUCCCACCUUAUCUCAAGGCCCUUGGUAAAGCCUUCCUCACCCCCCACUCCCGCCAUGUUCCGUGCCAAUCACAGGCUCCUCCCAGGGCGGUUGCCGCACCAGCUUCUCACAAGCACUUUGCUGUUUCAUAUGACCCUCACCACAGUCCAAGGAGGUCGCCGCUGGAAUCAACCCCAUUUCACAGAGAAGAACCCUAAGGCCCAGCCCACCCAGUGGUGGGAGAGGUCCAGAGUGGCCCCCCGCUGUCACCUGGCCCUUGUUCUCCAAGAAACUUCCAAGUCCUAGGAGGAGAUCAUUGUGGGCCAUGGGGUGCAUUCCUCCUUGAACACAUUCUCUAAAAAUCAAGGUACAACUGUUGAAAGAAUAAAUCCAAACGACCCAGCCGGUGUGGAGCGUGUGUUUUGAAAGUCAGUUAGUGAGACUUAAAACUAGGCCCCUCCCCACACCAUUUAAAAAGUGGGAGAUUGGGGAUGUCCCAUUAGAUCACACAAACACACACACACACACACACACACACACACACUGAACUAACGGACUGUUUUUUAGCAGAGUUUCAGGUUUCCACAGUUGCUCUGUCCCCCACCAACACCUGGCAUUGGUGGGUACGUUGUUACACGGGUGAGCCCGUCCUGAUACCUAAUUGUCAACCAAAGCCACCGUUGGCAUUGAGCUUCUCCUUGCUUUACACCCUCUGUAGCCUUUGGAGGACAGUGACGUGCACCCACCAGCACAGCAUCCUGCACCACAGUCUCGCUGCACCUGCUCGUCCUGCGUUCCCUCCCCACCAACCUGGCAACCAAGGAUUCAUUCACUCGGCCCUAGGGUUGGUUUUUCCAGAAUGCCACCAGGCUGGAAUCAUGGAAUGCAGCCUUUUUUCUUUUUCUUUUUGGUAUCUAGGGUCUGGCCCAUGCCAGGUAAGUGCCCCAGCACU